GCCCCCAUAGCUCAGGGGAGAGAGCAACGGCCUCCGGAGCCGUGAGCGCAGGUUCGAAUCCUGCUGGGGGCGCCA
Molecule: transfer RNA, 75 nt
Filed under: Streptosporangiaceae bacterium
Lineage: Bacteria; Bacillati; Actinomycetota; Actinomycetes; Streptosporangiales; Streptosporangiaceae
Also listed under: 1 other name
Description: tRNA-Arg
Rfam family: tRNA
About the family: Transfer RNA (tRNA) molecules are approximately 80 nucleotides in length. Their secondary structure includes four short double-helical elements and three loops (D, anti-codon, and T loops).
Source: RNAcentral